GGUUCACUGGCUAUGAAGGCAUGGAGUGUAUCCUACACUUUAACUGGCGUUAACGGUACGUUAAUAGAAGAACUUCAACAAGGAGCAUGGGUGAAGACAAGCAGCAAAAAGAAUGAAGAAAUAGUCUCUCAUUUGACAGCCUUGAAUUUGUCCGCAAUCCUGAUGUAAGAUGGAGCUAAUCUUACAAAGAGAAUGAGAUGGCCAGCAGCUUCCCCAAAGGGGGAGUUUGCUAUUCAUGGAUAUGG
Molecule: long non-coding RNA, 245 nt
Organism: Mauremys mutica (yellowpond turtle)
Lineage: Eukaryota; Metazoa; Chordata; Testudines; Geoemydidae
Exons: 3
Source: RefSeq, a predicted model, not a curated record